GCCGUGACAUCGCCGGAGGGCAUCUAGGAUUAGAGUUUGAUCCUGGCUCAGAUUGAACGCUGGCGGCAGGCCUAACACAUGCAAGUCGAACGGUAACAGGAAGCAGCUUGCUGCUUCGCUGACGAGUGGCGGACGGGUGAGUAAUGUCUGGGAAACUGCCUGAUGGAGGGGGAUAACUACUGGAAACGGUAGCUAAUACCGCAUAAUGUCGCAAGACCAAAGAGGGGGACCUUCGGGCCUCUUGCCAUCGGAUGUGCCCAGAUGGGAUUAGCUAGUAGGUGGGGUAACGGCUCACCUAGGCGACGAUCCCUAGCUGGUCUGAGAGGAUGACCAGCCACACUGGAACUGAGACACGGUCCAGACUCCUACGGGAGGCAGCAGUGGGGAAUAUUGCACAAUGGGCGCAAGCCUGAUGCAGCCAUGCCGCGUGUAUUGGAAGAAGGCCUUCGGGUUGUAAAGUACUUUCAACGGGGACGGAGGCGAAUAAGGUUAAUAACCUUGUGGAUUGACGUUACCCGCAGAAGAAGCACCGGCUAACUCCGUGCCAGCAGGCCGCGGUAAUACGGAGGGUGCCAAGCGUUAAUCGGAAUUACUGGGCGUAAAGCGCACGCAGGCGGUCUGUCAAGUCGGAUGUGAAAUCCCCGGGCUCAAACCUGGGAACCUGCAUUCGAAACUGGCAGGCUAGAGUCUUGUAGAGGGGGGUAGAAUUUCCAGGUGUAGCGGUGAAAUGCGUAGAGAUCCUGGAGGAAUACCGGUGGCGAAGGCGGCCCCCUGGACAAAGACUGACGCUCAGGUGCGAAAGCGUGGGGAGCAAACAGGAUUAGAUACCCUGGUAGUCCACGCCGUAAACGAUGUCGACUUGGAGGUUGUGCCCUUGAGGCGUGGCUUCCCGGAGCUAACGCGUUAAGUCGACCGCCCUGGGGAGUACGGCCGCAAGGUUAAAACUCAAAUGAAUUGACGGGGGCCCGCACAAGCGGUGGAGCAUGUGGUUUAAUUCGAUGCAACGCGAAGAACCUUUACCUACUCUUGACAUCCAGAGAACUUAGCAGAGAUGCUUUGGUGCCUUCGGGAACUCUGAGAACAGGUGCUGCAUGGCUGUCGUCAGCUCGUGUUUGGUGAAAUGGUGGAUUAAGUUCCCGCCAACGGAGCGCAACCCUUAUCCUUUGUUGCCAGCGGUCAGGCCGGGAACUCAAAGGAGACCUUGCCAGGUGUAUAAACUGGAGGAAGGUGGGGAUGACGUCAAGUCAUCAUGGCCCUUACGAGUAGGGCUACACACGUGCUACAAUGGCGCAUACAAAGAGAAGCGACCUCGCGAGAGCAAGCGGACCUCAUAAAGUGCGUCGUAGUCCGGAUUGGAGUCUGCAACUCGACUCCAUGAAGUCGGAAUCGCUAGUAAUCGUGGAUCAGAAUGCCACGGUGAAUACGUUCCCGGGCCUUGUACACACCGCCCGUCACACCAUGGGAGUGGGUUGCAAAAGAAGUAGGUAGCUUAACCUUCGGGAGGGCGCUUACCACUUUGUGAUUCAUGACUGGGGUGAAGUCGUAACAAGGUAACCGUAA
This 1560-nucleotide ribosomal RNA is filed under the name Enterobacter sp. S139. RNAcentral describes it as "bacterial SSU rRNA". It matches the Rfam family "Bacterial small subunit ribosomal RNA". Lineage: Bacteria; Pseudomonadati; Pseudomonadota; Gammaproteobacteria; Enterobacterales; Enterobacteriaceae. The record is from RNAcentral.